CUUCCCGCCCCACCCUCUUAGAGCAUGACCUCACUUCCGGCUCCAAACUAAACUCUGGAUUGAAACCUGAGCAGGCUACUUGUUUUCGAGUCCAGAGAGCAGCUUUAGGGGGAGGAGAAAGAAGCACUGGGGGAGGGGGGAGGGGGGAGGGUGUGUCAGACGUUUUUGCUCUCGUACUCCCAGGGGAUCUCUGGGGAGGAACCCAGCUAAGUGACCCACCGACAUUGUCCAGAAGUUCACAGCAUUUUAGUUACCUCAGCCCAGAUUCAGGGGAAAUAGACUUUAGAGGAAGGUCAGGAGAAGCUCUGGUAGAAUACUUUAAAAAAUAUUCUGAGGCAACAGAACUGGCAGGGACCUGGUUCUAACUGCAUUUUGCCGAGACGACCAUUGAACUCUCAACAUGUCCUUACCAAAGCUCAUUCUCUGCCUUGCUAAACCACUUCUCCUCCAGACUGUUUCAGUUUAGGGCAGCAUUCCCAAGACAUCCAGACUUGAAGACUAGGGGUGAUGGAUUCAGUAUAGGUAUUGAAGUACUAGCCAAGCUGCUAACAGCUGAAUGACAAUUGAACCAGUGAAGUGGAUUCCUCUGUCACUCUGGAUUUCCUUGGGAAUGCCCCAGGCAAUGCUAAGCAACUUAUCAAGUCUCCAGUGACUCAAAGAGUGCAAGUAUUCCACCAUGGGAUGACACAGAGAGUGAGGGAGUAUUUAAGUGGCCAUUGGGUCCACACCAAAGUCCUGCGCCUUCAUCUUUUACACACCCUUCCUUCUCCAGCUUCUCCUGGAUGGGCCAGGACAGGCUCUCUUGGGCAGAUGCAAUCUCUGCUGGAGUCAGUCCCACUUUAGGGGCAGGGUCCCUUGAGAAUGAAGGAAGACAGGUCUGUGGGGAGUAGGAGUUGCAUAGCAGCCUGAUUGGUAUGUCAGUCAGCAAUGGCAUUUCCCUGGAAUGCAGAGAGUUCCCAUGAGAGUGUUCCAGAAUUUUAAUGAUGGCCACUGAUGAUGGCAAUAAGAGGGAAUCAAACAAUCUGUGGACUUACAACCUAUUCUCUAAAUGGAAGUCAAGUCAAGACUUGGAAGAAGUCAAGAAUCCUCUAUAUUUCCACAAUUUUCCAAAGUCAUUUGCUACCCCAAAUACAUAACUGUUGUUCAUGUGAUAUGUUUACCUGUUUUCCUUUUGCUAAUUCAGAAACUAAGGUCAAUGCUUCAAGUUUGGCCUAUUGGGCUGAUGAGGCCAAGGGAAAGGAUCCUGACUGAUUUCCUUAGUGCUGGUAAUAGCACACAUGGCCAUCAGAUCACCAGAGUCAUUUCAGACAUAGAAAUCAUCUGGAUUUUCUAGCUCAGUCUCCUGGAAGUCCUCUCAUGGAAUUAAAAGAGAGUCAACAAAGUUAACAUAGACAUAAUUCGAUGUAAUUAGGGUCCCUGUCUUCUGUGUCACUAAUUAACUGUAUUACUUUGAAUAAGUUAGAAAAAUUCUAACUCUAGUUUCCUCAGCUAUAAAAUAGAGAGAAUAAUGGUACCACCUACCUUUGCCAGAAGGUGAAUUUGUAAGAGU
Monodelphis domestica (gray short-tailed opossum) is the source of this 1549-nucleotide non-coding RNA. Lineage: Eukaryota; Metazoa; Chordata; Mammalia; Didelphimorphia; Didelphidae. The record is from RefSeq and is a predicted model, not a curated record.